RNAcentral lists this ribosomal RNA (137 nucleotides) under uncultured eukaryote. RNAcentral's name for it is "partial 18S ribosomal RNA". It matches the Rfam family "Eukaryotic small subunit ribosomal RNA", at positions 1299 to 1458 of the family's 1831-position model. The record is from RNAcentral.
UGGUGGAGUGAUUUGUCUGGUUAAUUCCGUUAACGAACGAGACCUUAACCUGCUAAAUAGUUAUGCGAACUUUGGUUCGUAACUAACUUCUUAGAGGGACUGUGGAUGCUAAUCCACGGAAGUUUGAGGCAAUAACA